AUUGAACGCUGGCGGCAUGCCUUACACAUGCAAGUCGAACGGUAACAGGUCUUCGGAUGCUGACGAGUGGCGAACGGGUGAGUAAUACAUCGGAACGUGCCUAGUAGUGGGGGAUAACUACUCGAAAGAGUGGCUAAUACCGCAUGAGAUCUACGGAUGAAAGCAGGGGAUCGCAAGACCUUGUGCUACAAGAGCGGCAGAGGGCAGAUGAGGUAGUUGGUUGGAUAAAAGCUUACCAAGCCGACUAUCUGUAGCUGGUCUGAGAGGACGAUCAGCCAGACUGGGACUGAGACACGGCCCAGACUCCCACGGGAGGCAGCAGUGGGGAAUUUUGGACAAUGGGCGCAAGCCUGAUCCAGCAAUGCCGCGUGCAGGAUGAAGGCCUUCGGGUUGUAAACUGCUUUUGUACGGAACGAAAAGCCCCGGGUUAAUACCCUGGGGUCAUGACGGUACCGUAAGAAUAAGCACCGGCUAACUACGUGCCAGCCGCCGCCGUAA
Molecule: ribosomal RNA, 498 nt
Filed under: uncultured bacterium
Lineage: Bacteria
Description: partial 16S ribosomal RNA
Rfam family: Bacterial small subunit ribosomal RNA
Source: RNAcentral